RNAcentral lists this ribosomal RNA (460 nucleotides) under uncultured bacterium. Its description in RNAcentral is "partial 16S ribosomal RNA". It matches the Rfam family "Bacterial small subunit ribosomal RNA", at positions 338 to 795 of the family's 1533-position model. The record is from RNAcentral.
CCUACGGGAGGCAGCAGUGAGGAAUAUUGGUCAAUGGACGCAAGUCUGAACCAGCCAAGCCGCGUGCAGGAAGACGGCUCUAUGAGUUGUAAACUGCUUUUGUACGAGGGUAAACGCAGAUACGCGUAUCUGUCUGAAAGUAUCGUACGAAUAAGGAUCGGCUAACUCCGUGCCAGCAGCCGCGGUAAUACGGAGGAUUCAAGCGUUAUCCGGCUUUAUUGGGUUUAAAGGGUGCGUAGGCGGUCGGAUAAGUUAGAGGUGAAAUCCCGAGGCGCAACCUCGGAAUUGCCUCUGAUACUGUUCGGCGAGAGAGUAGUUGCGGUAGGCGGAAUGUAUGGUGUAGCGGUGAAAUGCUUAGAGAUCAUACAGAACACCGAUUGCGAAGGCAGCUUACCAAGCUACUUCUGACGUUGAGGCACGAAAGCGUGGGGAGCAAACAGGAUUAGAUACCCUUGUAGUC